ACGAACGCUGGCGGCGUGCUUAACACAUGCAAGUCGAACGGAAAGGCCCUGCUUGCAGGGUACUCGAGUGGCGAACGGGUGAGUAACACGUGGGUGAUCUGCCCUGCACUUCGGGAUAAGCUUGGGAAACUGGGUCUAAUACCGGAUAGGAACCAUCUUUAGUGUGGUGGUUGGAAAGUUUUUUCGGUGUAGGAUGAGCUCGCGGCCUAUCAGCUUGUUGGUGGGGUAAUGGCCUACCAAGGCGGCGACGGGUAGCCGGCCUGAGAGGGUGUACGGCCACAUUGGGACUGAGAUACGGCCCAGACUCCUACGGGAGGCAGCAGUGGGGAAUAUUGCACAAUGGGCGCAAGCCUGAGGCAGCGACGCCGCGUGGGGGAUGAAGGCCUUCGGGUUGUAAACUCCUUUCGCUAGGGACGAAGCUUUGUUGUGACGGUACCUAGAUAAGAAGCACCGGCUAACUACGUG
This 465-nucleotide ribosomal RNA is filed under the name uncultured bacterium. Its description in RNAcentral is "partial 16S ribosomal RNA". It matches the Rfam family "Bacterial small subunit ribosomal RNA", at positions 29 to 507 of the family's 1533-position model. The record is from RNAcentral.